CCCUUCGGGGAACCCGGUGACAGGUGCUGCAUGGCUGUCGUCAGCUCGUGUCGUGAGAUGUUGGGUUAAGUCCCGCAACGAGCGCAACCCUUGUCUUUAAUUGCCAUCAUUUAGUUGGGCACUUUAAAGAGACUGCCGGUGUUAAGCCGGAGGAAGGUGGGGAUGACGUCAAGUCCUCAUGGCCUUUAUGCCCAGGGCUACACACGUGCUACAAUGGGCGGUACAAAGAGAAGCGACCUCGCGAGGGUGAGCAAAUCUCAAAAAGCCGUUCUCAGUUCGGAUUGAAGUCUGCAACUCGACUUCAUGAAGUCGGAAUCGCUAGUAAUCGCGGAUCAGCAUGCCGCGGUCGAAUACGUUCCGGGCCUU
Molecule: ribosomal RNA, 366 nt
Filed under: uncultured Syntrophaceae bacterium
Lineage: Bacteria; Pseudomonadati; Thermodesulfobacteriota; Syntrophia; Syntrophales; Syntrophaceae
Description: bacterial SSU rRNA
Rfam family: Bacterial small subunit ribosomal RNA
Source: RNAcentral